This 244-nucleotide long non-coding RNA is filed under the name Lupinus angustifolius (narrow-leaved blue lupine). RNAcentral describes it as "long non-coding RNA (LANG_LNC000320)". Lineage: Eukaryota; Viridiplantae; Streptophyta; Magnoliopsida; Fabales; Fabaceae. The record is from RNAcentral.
GGUGCAGCAACUGGACGAUGAAGGGGACCAGUGUGAGUGGACGGUGGUACUACACGGGACGAUACACAGUAGCCUGGAACUGCAUGGAAGCUGGCAGAAACCAGUGGCACUAGACGAUAACGGCGGUCUGGAACUGUGUGGAUGGUGGCCUGAAACUGUGAAGAGGGAUGGAGAGGUUCAAAAUUAAAUUAGACAUAUAAUAUCAUGAACUCCACAGCAUUUCUCGUAAUUUCAAACUUAAUAG